This 598-nucleotide ribosomal RNA is filed under the name Vibrio alginolyticus. RNAcentral describes it as "bacterial SSU rRNA". It matches the Rfam family "Bacterial small subunit ribosomal RNA", at positions 79 to 665 of the family's 1533-position model. The record is from RNAcentral. Lineage: Bacteria; Pseudomonadati; Pseudomonadota; Gammaproteobacteria; Vibrionales; Vibrionaceae.
UUCGGGGAACGAUAACGGCGUCGAGCGGCGGACGGGUGAGUAAUGCCUAGGAAAUUGCCCUGAUGUGGGGGAUAACCAUUGGAAACGAUGGCUAAUACCGCAUGAUGCCUACGGGCCAAAGAGGGGGACCUUCGGGCCUCUCGCGUCAGGAUAUGCCUAGGUGGGAUUAGCUAGUUGGUGAGGUAAGGGCUCACCAAGGCGACGAUCCCUAGCUGGUCUGAGAGGAUGAUCAGCCACACUGGAACUGAGACACGGUCCAGACUCCUACGGGAGGCAGCAGUGGGGAAUAUUGCACAAUGGGCGCAAGCCUGAUGCAGCCAUGCCGCGUGUAUGAAGAAGGCCUUCGGGUUGUAAAGUACUUUCAGUCGUGAGGAAGGCGGCGUCGUUAAUAGCGGCGUUGUUUGACGUUAGCGACAGAAGAAGCACCGGCUAACUCCGUGCCAGCAGCCGCGGUAAUACGGAGGGUGCGAGCGUUAAUCGGAAUUACUGGGCGUAAAGCGCAUGCAGGUGGUUUGUUAAGUCAGAUGUGAAAGCCCGGGGCUCAACCUCGGAAUAGCAUUUGAAACUGGCAGACUAGAGUACUGUAGAGGGGGGUAGA